RNAcentral lists this long non-coding RNA (499 nucleotides) under Homo sapiens (human). Its description in RNAcentral is "HSALNT0327577". Lineage: Eukaryota; Metazoa; Chordata; Mammalia; Primates; Hominidae. The record is from RNAcentral.
GCCAGGGUUAAGCACCACUGAUUUGGUUUAAUAGAAGCUGAAGUGAUGUCCCAUAUCUACUUGGCUGGGAAAUGCCACAAGACUAGGCCGUGCAACAUUUCCGCAGUGCUCCUCGCUACAAAGACAUUCCCCUAAGGCUGGUGGGCAACUCAACACUCAGCUCAGUACGUGGUCAGCUCGUCCUCCAUAGGAGCCUUAUGCCUUGGUGAGGAGAUCUCUGAAGAAAUUGCUGAUGAAAGUCCAACAGGCUCUUCCAGUUUGUCUGGUCGGUCACAUUUGCUGAAACCUGGAGGAAUUGUUAGUGGAAGCUCAACAGGCCUGACUCAGUCUGACUGUCCAUUCUUCUGGAAGCUGCAGAGAAAAGAAACCUGGAAACCUUAUAUGCUGACAAAAAGGGACACAAUUGGAUAUGAUGGUUAUUUUACCAAGGUUUUGAAAUGUCGUGCUUUCAAAUAUAAACAGACUGCUUUAAGGAAUCGAAGUUGACUUAUAGAGCCAA